This 253-nucleotide ribosomal RNA is filed under the name uncultured bacterium. Its description in RNAcentral is "partial 16S ribosomal RNA". It matches the Rfam family "Bacterial small subunit ribosomal RNA", at positions 524 to 776 of the family's 1533-position model. The record is from RNAcentral.
UACGUAGGGGGCGAGCGUUAUCCGGAUUUACUGGGCGUAAAGCGAGUUAAGGCGGUUGGCAAAGUUGGUUGUGAAAUCUCAGGGCUCAACCCUGAAAUUGCGACCAAUACUGGUCGACUAGAGUGCAGGAGAGGAAGGUGGAAUUCCCGGUGUAGUAGUGAAAUGCGUAGAUAUCGGGAGGAACACCAGUGGCGAAGGCGGCCUUCUGGCCUGCAACUGACGCUGUAGCUCGAAAGCGUGGGGAGCGAACCGG